Molecule: long non-coding RNA, 2119 nt
Filed under: Mus musculus (house mouse)
Lineage: Eukaryota; Metazoa; Chordata; Mammalia; Rodentia; Muridae
Description: long non-coding RNA chr5:54046731-54048850
Source: RNAcentral
AUGGAGCCAGCAGAGAGCACAGGCGAGGCUGGGUAGCCUGGGGUGAAGGGAGUUGGUCAGCCAUGGUAUGUCAGGGAGAAAGCCUAGUGCUGGCAGAGGAAACUGCAAACAUGAGCUUCUUUGCCAGUGAAGACUUUAUGUAUUAUUUUUUGCUUUAUUCAGAAUAGUCUUUAGAUCUUUCUACAAGCAGGUCUUUUCUCUGAAUGUUAACAACGCCUAUUUAGUCAAGAUGAAAUAAAUAACCACAAUUUCUUAUGUAUACUUUAUAAUAUGAUAGACAUUUCAUAUUUCCAUUAUCACUGUAUUUAAUGUAACUAUUUGCCACAUAUGUUCUUGCCUGUGUGUGUCUUCAUGGAGAACUUUGAAGAACCAAUACAAAUGUCACUUUUACCUUGAAGAUUUUCUUUCUGUGGGCAUACGCAAGGUUUUCUUCUUAUUUAUAUACUACUCACAGAUGUCUGCCAUUGUAUGGUUAUCAAACUAACUUUUUUAAAAACUUAUUGUGCAUGUGGCUUUUGACCUAGAAUCAGUCAUUUGCUAGAUAAAUGAUUUGCAGUUAAUAUUUAGCCUUGAAUAUUUAUAUACCUUUAAACCACUUAAGCAUUAAGCCAUUUAAGCCAUUGAACAUGACACCCAUUGAGGCAGAUAGUGAGACUAUUCAAAUUUGAGGUAAAGUUAUGACACAAAAUAUUUACCACAGAGGUGUGGCUAUUUCCCAUUGCUAAUCCCAUUGCCAAAUAUCUAACAGAAGCAACUUAAGGGUUUAUCCAUUUUGGCUUGUGUUUUCAGAGGUCAUGAGUUUACUACGGAGGAACAGGCCUAGUGGACUGUUGAGUGUGUAGUGAUAGAGACUUAGGCAGUGGAUCUAACAUAGCAGUGGUCCAAGAAGCAGCAAGCAGGACUAGAGAUAAGGUGUGGCUAACCUUUUGUAGCUCUUCCUAGUGACACAUUUCUACCAGCCAGGCCCUGCCUUGUGCAGGCUCUGUGGUUUCUCCAAAGCUUGCCACAUAUGUGGGAAUAGGAGUCUAAAUUUAAGCUUGUGAGAGCAAAGUUCACACUUAAAAAGUUGUGUGUUCAAGAGAAAUGUGAAUUGAAGUGAGAUACCCUGUCCAGAAGAUAAGUAAGGUAGAAAUUGUGUAUGUUGGAGAUUGGGAAUGUCACUCUGGAACCUUCCUUCCCCACCGGACAUAGAUGCUUUUUGGAUCUGUCAGUUGCUUUCUCAGUCAGGCAGUAUCAGUGGUAGCAAUACUCCUUUUCUAAGACUGCCGACACAUUUCUUUAUAUACUUCGUACUGACUCUUGGAUUUGGUGGCUUGAAGAGCUGGUUAAAAUCCCAAAUAUUAUGUUAAGAUAGGUAUGAUCUUACUAAUCAAGUUACCCAUGAGUCAUUUCCUCUGAAAGGUACAAACAUAGGGUUAGAGAUAAUAGAUUACAUUUAUAGAAUGGCUUUGGUUUUCAAUAGUAGAAAAUUCUAACUAAAGGAAAUAAUUUUAAUUCACUUAAGAUGAAAUAAGUAACUAUUUUUACUUCAAAACACUUAAAUGCUUCAGACAGGGCAUUUGUCAUUGAAUACAGGAACACAAGGUGGAACUUAAUGCUGUUGUUGGCUAAGCAGGGUCGGUCUGACUCUGUUGAAGCUAUUUCCAUUUCUUCAAAUGUCAGGUGCUAUCAGUGCAGAGAAAAGGAGAGAGUGUUGAGUAUAUGGAAGCAAAGCAAUCUAUCGUGCUGCACCAUGACCUCUGAAAACACAAGCCAAAAUGGGUAAACCUUUAACACAAGCUGGGGGUUCCAUGGCCAGGAUGCCUCCUAGUGUUGUGUGCCCAGCACCAGGCAGAGCCUGGCUAGUACGGGGGUUGUUUAAUGAAUGAAUUCGUUAGAUAAGAACCAUGUUCCAGGUUAAAAAAAUAAUAAUAAAAUAAACUUUGUUAACCUAUGACAUAAAAUUUAUUGCUUUCAACUUAUAAUUAGUACAAGGAACAAAAGAUAGAUAAAACUAUUGCUUUGGACUCAUAAAGAUAGAUUAAACUAUGCUUUGAACAUGUUGAACUUGUAAAAUAAAGGAUAAGUAAAAACUACUUAAUUACGUAGUGAUUUUAAUAAAAAAUACCUCUCUUCAUUG